GACGAACGCUGGCGGCGUGCCUAAUACAUGCAAGUUGAGCGCUGAAGGUUGGUACUUGUACCGACUGGAUGAGCAGCGAACGGGUGAGUAACGCGUGGGGAAUCUGCCUUUGAGCGGGGGACAACAUUUGGAAACGAAUGCUAAUACCGCAUAAAAACUUUAAACACAAGUUUUAAGUUUGAAAGAUGCAAUUGCAUCACUCAAAGAUGAUCCCGCGUUGUAUUAGCUAGUUGGUGAGGUAAAGGCUCACCAAGGCGAUGAUACAUAGCCGACCUGAGAGGGUGAUCGGCCACAUUGGGAAUGAGACACGGCCCAAACGCCUACGGGAGGCAGCAGUAGGGAAUCUUCGGCAAUGGACGAAAGUCUGACCGAGCAACGCCGCGUGAGUGAAGAAGGGUUUCGGAUCGUAAAACUCUGUUGGUAGAGAAGAACGUUGGUGAGAGUGGAAAGCUCAUCAAGUGACGGUAACUACCCAGAAAGGGACGGCUAACUACGUG
RNAcentral lists this ribosomal RNA (497 nucleotides) under uncultured bacterium. RNAcentral describes it as "partial 16S ribosomal RNA". It matches the Rfam family "Bacterial small subunit ribosomal RNA", at positions 28 to 507 of the family's 1533-position model. The record is from RNAcentral.